GCCGCUAUGGUGAAACUGGUAGACACGCUGCUCUUAGGAAGCAGUGCUAGGGCAUCUCGG
RNAcentral lists this transfer RNA (60 nucleotides) under Psilotum nudum. Its description in RNAcentral is "tRNA-Leu(UAG)". The record is from RNAcentral. Lineage: Eukaryota; Viridiplantae; Streptophyta; Polypodiopsida; Psilotales; Psilotaceae.